This 406-nucleotide ribosomal RNA is filed under the name uncultured bacterium. RNAcentral describes it as "partial 16S ribosomal RNA". It matches the Rfam family "Bacterial small subunit ribosomal RNA", at positions 30 to 526 of the family's 1533-position model. The record is from RNAcentral.
AUCGAACGCUGGCGGCAGGCCUAACACAUGCAAGUCGAACGAGUGGCGGACGGGUGAGUAAUGUCUGGGAAACUGCCUGAUGGAGGGGGAUAACUACUGGAAACGGUAGCUAAUACCGCAUACCAUCGGAUGUGCCCAGAUGGGAUGAGCUAGUAGGUGGGGUAACGGCUCACCAAGGCGACGAUCCCUAGCUGGUCUGAGAGGAUGACCAGCAACACUGGAACUGAGACAAGGUCCAGACUCCUACGGGAGGCAGCAGUGGGGAAUAUUGCACAAUGGGCGCAAGCCUGAUGAAGCCAUGCCGCGUGUAUGAAGAAGGCCUUCGGGUUGUAAAGUACUUUCAGCGGGGAGGCGUUACCCGCAGAAGAAGCACCGGCUAACUCCGUGCCAGCCGCCGCGGUAAUUC